GCCUUCGUGGUGUAGUGGUCAGCACGCUCGACGCGUAACCGAGAGAUUUGUGGUUCGAUUCCCGGCGAGGGCA
This 73-nucleotide transfer RNA is filed under the name Stegodyphus mimosarum. It matches the Rfam family "tRNA". Rfam says of the family: Transfer RNA (tRNA) molecules are approximately 80 nucleotides in length. The record is from Rfam by way of RNAcentral. Lineage: Eukaryota; Metazoa; Arthropoda; Arachnida; Araneae; Eresidae.